UCCAGGACAAUUGGUGCUGUCCCCAUGGGUCAAGUGGUGACUGGUACUCUAGGUGCAGAUCUGGUGGUCACUUUUUCCAAGUCAAAACAACGACCGAGGCAACUUCUAUUGAAAUGCUUUGCUUACAGCAAAGUUCUGCCUCAUGACAGCAUAGACUUCAGCAUCAGAAACCUGUCCAUCAGCGAUGUUCAUUGCAGAAGGAAUGGCUUCUCCCUGCUGUGGAAGCUUCCAACUUUGCUGCAUAGAUGAGAACCCUGGGCCAUCCAGGCCUAAUCAGAGUUGGCCAACCCCCAGGCUGAGUGGCCACACUGCUCCGUUGUUUGCAAGGAGAAGUUUGAUGUGGCAAGAAGCUGGAAAAGGCACAACAUCUGGAAGUCUGGUGAUGAUAUUGCAGUUGGUGUGGUUCCUGCCAGGGUCACAAGUAUAAAGAGCUUCUCAGACCUGAGAUAGUUUUGCUGUCAAGAUAUGACAGAGUCUGCAGCUGUGGGUGUCAUGAAGACAGUUAACAAGAAGGCUGAUGGAGGCAGCAAGACAAAAUGUCCAUCCAGAAAUCU
This 554-nucleotide long non-coding RNA is filed under the name Homo sapiens (human). Its description in RNAcentral is "non-protein coding lnc-RHOU-7:1". The record is from RNAcentral. Lineage: Eukaryota; Metazoa; Chordata; Mammalia; Primates; Hominidae.